GACGAACGCUGGCGGCGUGCCUAAUACAUGCAAGUUGAGCGCUGAAGGUUGGUACUUGUACCAACUGGAUGAGCAGCGAACGGGCGAGUAACGCGUGGGGAAUCUGCCCUUGAGCGGGGGACAACAUUUGGAAACGAAUGCUAAUACCGCAUAAAAACUUUAAACACAAGUUUUAAGUUUGAAAGAUGCAAUUGCAUCACUCAAAGAUGAUCCCGCGUUGUAUUAGCUAGUUGGUGAGGUAAAGGCUCACCAAGGCGAUGAUACAUAGCCGACCUGAGAGGGGGAUCGGCCACAUUGGGACUGAGACACGGCCCAAACUCCUACGGGAGGCAGCAGUAGGGAAUCUUCGGCAAUGGACGAAAGUCUGACCGAGCAACGCCGCGUGAGUGAAGAAGGUUUUCGGAUCGUAAAACUCUGUUGGUAGAGAAGAACGUUGGUGAGAGUGGAAAGCUCAUCAAGUGACGGUAACUACCCAGAAAGGGACGGCUAACUACGUG
This 497-nucleotide ribosomal RNA is filed under the name uncultured bacterium. Its description in RNAcentral is "partial 16S ribosomal RNA". It matches the Rfam family "Bacterial small subunit ribosomal RNA", at positions 28 to 507 of the family's 1533-position model. The record is from RNAcentral.